CUUUCAUAUUUUGUUUCACUGUGAAUAUUAUAAAAAUUAAUGCUUUGUCCAGAAAUUUUACUACCCAUUUGAAUUUAGUAAUGUCUAGUCACAAGAGGGGCAUCGUUGGAAUUUUAUGAUAAGUAAAAGUGCAAUAAUUGUACGUUCAUCACCAGCUCAGAUGACUUUCAUACAAAAACCUUAUUAUAUAAAGCUCAUGAAACACAUGAAAAUAAAAGUAGCAAAAUUUAUCUCUUUCUCUUACUAGCUCUUCUUCAUCACCUUUAAACGUUGGUCGCUCAACUGGUUCAUGGAUAUUGAUCCCUUCUGGAUUACGGGGGGUGGUGUUAUUAUUCUUUAUUUCUUAAACCAUUUUCAUGGCUGCAGCUACCAAAUUUUUCCUCAUGCUGGUUUUCGUAUUCAUUCUUAGCUUCAAUAAUAUUAAUCCUCUCUUUGCUCGUCCAAUAGAUUAUCCAGUGUCUUCUUAUAUCUCAACAAGACAUCUCCUGUUUCAUAAUUCUCCUUCAACAACACAGUCUUUGAAUCCACACCCCACAAACCCUAAAACUUCAACCUCUUCUUCUUUCCCUACUGCUGCUGCUGCUGCUACCACUGCUCCAGAUCGACAGUUUAGAGCAGCUGCACAUGAAGUUCCUAGCGGCCCAAAUCCUGAAUCCAACUACGAGUAGGCUGAGUUAUUUGUCAUAUUGUGUGGAAAAUUAUUCAGCGGGGAUGUGGAGUUUUGCAUUUGUCUUACUGUGGAACACAUGGCCUGAGAAAUCUGACAGAAAAAAGACAAGAUAUGAUUUCAUAAUCAUAAUAUAUAGUUAAAAUCCUCUUUCCUAAUGAUAUAAACAAUUAUGAUUAAUCAUCCAUGUGAAUAUACGUGUUAAAUUUCUACUUUCAGAACCUAAGCAAUAUACCUGUAUUUUCACAUGUCUGACUGUCUAGUACAUUAGUACUGGUAAGUCAAAAAUAUUAUCUAGCUAGAACAAUUGGAAUGCUUUCAGUAAUCAAACAAUAUAUGUGGCCUAAGGGCAGCUUGACUGGUCAUAGCUUGUGAAAUCCCCAAGUAGGAAGGCUUGAGUUGUAGACUGGACGAGGUUAUGUCUCCUUGACUUACCAGCUGCAGUGCAACUAAAACCACUCUCAGGACUGCAGAUAUUCCCGUGAUUAGAAUCAUUGAAUGUCGAAAGUAGUUAGUUGUAUUUUGAAAAAAUCAGAAGCAGGGCAUAAAUGUAUGUAUGUAUGUAUCAUCAACCAGAUUAUGUUUCCUUGGUAGUAAUAUUAUGCAUCAUCAAGAUCAGGGGAAUCUUUCACUGCAUUUUUGGGUGCAGUAAUUUUAAAGAUGAAGACAAUUUCUAAUGAAUCCCACAAUCCCAUCUAAGAAAUUUAUGUUUCCACUUGCUUCAUGGCGAUAUUAAUUGAUAUUUUUUUACUGGAA
Molecule: long non-coding RNA, 1423 nt
Organism: Mangifera indica (mango)
Lineage: Eukaryota; Viridiplantae; Streptophyta; Magnoliopsida; Sapindales; Anacardiaceae
Exons: 2
Source: RefSeq, a predicted model, not a curated record